CCUACGUGAGACAGCAGUGGGGGAUAUUGCACAAUGGGGGAAACCCUGAUGCAGCGACGCCGCGUGGGCGAAGAAGUAUUUCGGUAUGUAAAGCCCUAUCAGCAGGGAAGAAGAAAUGACGGUACCUGAGUAAGAAGCACCGGCUAAAUACGUGCCAGCAGCCGCGGUAAUACGUAUGGUGCAAGCGUUAUCCGGAUGUACUGGGUGUAAAGGGAGCGCAGGCGGCACGGCAAGCCUGAUGUGAAAGCCCGCGGCCCAACCGCGGGACUGCAUUGGGAACUACCGGGCUGGAGUGCCGGAGAGGUAGGCGGAAUUCCUAGUGUAGCGGUGAAAUGCGGAGAUAUUAGGAGGAACACCAGUGGCGAAGGCGGCCUGCUGGACAUUAACUGACGCUGAGGCGCGAAAGCGUGGGGAGCAAACAGGAUUAGAUACCCGGGUAGUC
This 442-nucleotide ribosomal RNA is filed under the name uncultured bacterium. RNAcentral describes it as "partial 16S ribosomal RNA". It matches the Rfam family "Bacterial small subunit ribosomal RNA", at positions 338 to 795 of the family's 1533-position model. The record is from RNAcentral.